RNAcentral lists this ribosomal RNA (812 nucleotides) under uncultured bacterium. RNAcentral's name for it is "bacterial SSU rRNA". It matches the Rfam family "Bacterial small subunit ribosomal RNA", at positions 1 to 807 of the family's 1533-position model. The record is from RNAcentral.
UUAGAGUUUCAUUCUGGCUCAGGAUGAACGCUAGCGGCAGGCCUAACACAUGCAAGUCGAGGGGCAGCAUAAAAAGUAGCUUGUUACUUUUGGUGGCGACCGGCGCACGGGUGCGUAACGCGUAUGCAACCUACCCAUAACAGGGGGAUAACACUGAGAAAUUGGUACUAAUACCCCAUAACAUCAGAUGCGGCAUCGCAUUUGGUUGAAAACUCCGGUGGUUAUGGAUGGGCAUGCGUUGUAUUAGCUAGUUGGAGAGGUAACGGCUCACCAAGGCGACGAUACAUAGGGGGACUGAGAGGUUAACCCCCCACAUUGGUACUGAGACACGGACCAAACUCCUACGGGAGGCAGCAGUGAGGAAUAUUGGUCAAUGGACGCAAGUCUGAACCAGCCAUGCCGCGUGCAGGAUGACGGCUCUAUGAGUUGUAAACUGCUUUUGUAUAAGGGUAAACCCAGAUACGUGUAUCUGGCUGAAAGUACUAUACGAAUAAGGAUCGGCUAACUCCGUGCCAGCAGCCGCGGUAAUACGGAGGAUCCAAGCGUUAUCCGGAUUUAUUGGGUUUAAAGGGUGCGUAGGCGGUUUGAUAAGUUAGAGGUGAAAUACCGGGGCUCAACUCCGGAACUGCCUCUAAUACUGUUGAACUAGAGAGUAGUUGCUGUGGGCGGAAUGUAUGGUGUAGCGGUGAAAUGCUUAGAGAUCAUACAGAACACCGAUUGCGAAGGCAGCUCACAAAACUAUAUCUGACGUUGAGGCACGAAAGCGUGGGGAGCAAACAGGAUUAGAUACCCUGGUAGUCCACGCAGUAAAC